GGCGUAUUUGGCCUGCGCCGGACGCGGAGCGGCGGUUCGUCGUACCUAGGUUCCGGCUUGCCCCUGGGAGCUGUUUCUUUUAGGUGUUACUGAGUGGCUGCCUAAGUUUGCAGCUUUCUCCACAGGCAAAAUGAAGUAGAGACAAUUAACCUGAUAAUCAGUAGAAGAACAAAAUUCAUGUAACCAAGACAAGAAAGUGGCUAUGGUGCAUAUGAUCUUGUGGUUUAUAGAAAAAGAAGGUUAUCUGCAAGGAUUCCUUACAUACAUUCUCCACUCCAGCACACGUGCCUAAAGUUUACUGAUGUUGAUUCAUCCUUGAAAAGAUUGAAAAAUAUGACUGUAUUAAAACUUAAAUCGGGUCAAUAACCAAAGACAUUAAAAAGUCAGACAAGCCAUAGUCCAUGAAAAGAUAUUUACAAUAAAGAAUUAGUAACAAGAAGAAUAAUAAUUUUUAUAACCCUAUAUGUCACUAAGAAAGUAGCUGAAUAGCCUAAUGGAAAAAUGAAAAGAAGAAAGAGGAAGAGAAAUAGAUGAACAGAAUAUUUACAAAAGAAAGAACUUUAAAUGGCAAUGUAUAUAUAUGUAUAUAUAAAUACUCAUUGUGAAUAAUCAGGGAUAUUUCCAACAAAAACUAUAGCCUCUCAGAUAAGAUAAAAUUUAAAAGUCUGGGGAAAAAACCCAGAAAAUAACAAACACAACUAAUGGGAGUAUAUAUUGUCAUAACCACUCUAGAGGACAAGUUGGCAUUAUCUAGUAAGGUUGAAGGUGAGCAUCACUAGGAGCCAGAAAUUCCACUCUGAGAGAAACUUUGGUGUAUGUAACAAGGCGAUACAUAAAAAAUGUUUAUUUUGAUCUUAUUGUUUUUAAAAAUUUUCUUUCUU
Molecule: long non-coding RNA, 881 nt
Organism: Nycticebus coucang (slow loris)
Lineage: Eukaryota; Metazoa; Chordata; Mammalia; Primates; Lorisidae
Exons: 3
Source: RefSeq, a predicted model, not a curated record